AGAGUUUGAUCCUGGCUCAGGACGAACGCUGGCGGUGUGCUUCACACAUGCAAGUCGAGCGAAUGAAGUAGGUAGCUUGCUACUUAUGGAUUUAGCGGCGGACGGGUGAGUAAUAUAUAGGAAUCUGCCUUAGAGCGGGGAACAACAGACCGAAAGGUUUGCUAAUGCCCCAUAGGUAUGCAGUCUUCGGAUUGUAUAUUAAAGGAGUAAUCCACUCUAAGAUGAGCCUGUAUCCGAUUAGCUAGUUGGCGGGGUAAAGGCCCACCAAGGCUACGAUCGGUAGUUGGUCUGAGAGGAUGAUCAGCCACAAUGGGACUGAGACACGGCCCAUACUCCUACGGGAGGCAGCAGUGGGGAAUUUUACACAAUGGGGGAAACCCUGAUGUAGCGACACCGCGUGAACGAAGAAGCCUUUUGGGGUGUAAAGUUCUGUCGGCUGGAACGAAAAAAAUGACGGUACCAGUAAAGGAAGCAUCGGCUAACUACGUGCCAGCAGCCGCGGUAAGACGUAGGAUGCAAGCGUUGUCCGGAUUUAUUGGGCGUAAAGAGUUCGUAGGCGGUUAUUUAAGUCUGAUGUUAAAUACUGUGGCCCAACCACAGAACUGCAUUGGAUACUGGAUGACUUGAGUGCGGUAGAGGCAAGUGGAAUUCCCAGUGUAGCGGUGAAAUGCGUAGA
This 676-nucleotide ribosomal RNA is filed under the name uncultured bacterium. Its description in RNAcentral is "bacterial SSU rRNA". It matches the Rfam family "Bacterial small subunit ribosomal RNA", at positions 8 to 694 of the family's 1533-position model. The record is from RNAcentral.